GGCGGUUUGGCCGAGUGGUUAAGGCGAUUGACUCGGUAUGUUCCACCAAUUAUGGUCACCACCGAAACACUAUACUAAUCCUCCCACAGAAAUCAAUUCCAUUCGUGGGCGCAUGUUCGAAUCAUGCAGCCGUCG
This is a transfer RNA of Penicillium freii, 135 nucleotides long. It matches the Rfam family "tRNA". Rfam says of the family: Transfer RNA (tRNA) molecules are approximately 80 nucleotides in length. Lineage: Eukaryota; Fungi; Ascomycota; Eurotiomycetes; Eurotiales; Aspergillaceae. The record is from Rfam.